AAGACAACUCAAUCGCCAUCAACACUUAAAUCCAUAAAAGUAAAUAUUGACAUAGAAAAAACCUAAACCCAAUUCAUGGAAGAGAGUAGAAACAGAAGCAAAAAUGGGUCAAAGGGAGGAAGUGACGAUGACGAUGUGGUUGAUGGGUCAAAGGGAGGAAGUGACGAUGAUGAUGUGGGUCAAGGAGAACUGUACUCUCCUGCUUAUUCCAUCAACGUGAGAAACAACAAAGCAAACCUUGAUGCUAAUGUGGGUCAAGGAGAAUUGUACUCUCCUUCCCAUGCCAUCAAAGUGAGCAAUAACAAAGCAAACCAAGAACCAUCGUCGCUGCUGCCGUCGUCGAUGGGAUUGGGUGUGGCUGCAGACCAUAUAAGGUGGAACUUGGGGGCCAUCAAGGACAGACUGUUGGAGAAGGUGGCAGCUGCUGCUGUUCCUGCUGAUGCUUUGGACAGUGCAC
This 457-nucleotide long non-coding RNA is filed under the name Malus domestica (apple). Its description in RNAcentral is "long non-coding RNA (MDOM_LNC008095)". The record is from RNAcentral. Lineage: Eukaryota; Viridiplantae; Streptophyta; Magnoliopsida; Rosales; Rosaceae.